This 1175-nucleotide ribosomal RNA is filed under the name metagenome. RNAcentral describes it as "SSU rRNA". It matches the Rfam family "Eukaryotic small subunit ribosomal RNA", at positions 603 to 1772 of the family's 1831-position model. The record is from RNAcentral.
AUUAAUGCUGUUGCGGUUAAAAAGCUCGUAGUUGGAUUUUGGGGCUCUCCCUUUUCGGGAAUUCAUUUGGAGGCUGGUCCGGUGUAAACCGCGUACCGGCCGCCGGGCCCUUUCGUCUGGAGGCCGGGCGCAACGACUUUAUUGUCGAACGAUUCCCCCGGUGUCUAGGACGAUUACUUUGAACAAAUUAGAGUGUUUAAAGCAGGCAUACUCGCCUUGAAUACAUUAGCAUGGAAUAACCACUUAGGACUUUGGUUCUAUUUUGUUGGUUUUAAGGACUAAAGUAAUGAUUAACAGGAACCGUUGGGGCCAUUAGUAUUUAGUUGCCAGAGGUGAAAUUCUUAGACUUACGAAAGACUAACUUCUGCGAAAGCACUUGGCAAGGAGGUUUUCAGUAAUCAAGAACGAAAGUUAGGGGAUCGAAGACGAUCAGAUACCGUCGUAGUCUUAACCAUAAACUAUGCCGACUAGGGAUUGGAAGAUGUUAUUUUCAUGACUCUCUCAGCACCUUAUGAGAAAUCAAAGUCUUUGGGUUCCGGGGGGAGUAUGGUCGCAAGACUGAAACUUAAAGGAAUUGACGGAAGGGCACCACCAGGAGUGGAGCCUGCGGCUUAAUUUGACACAACACGGGAAAACUCACCAGGUCCAGACGUAAUAAGGAUUGACAGAUUGAGAGCUCUUUCUUGAUUCUACGGGUGGUGGUGCAUGGCCGUUCUUAGUUGGUGGAGUGAUUUGUCUGCUUAAUUGCGAUAACGAACGAGACCUUAACCUACUAAAUAGUUACGCGAUCAAUCCUGAUCGUGGCGAACUUCUUAGAGGGACUUUUGCGUGUUAAACCAAAGGAAGUUUGAGGCAAUAACAGGUCUGUGAUGCCCUUCGAUGUCCUGGGCCGCACGCGCGCUACACUGAUGAAUGCAACGAGUUUUGACCCUAGACCGUUAGGUCCGGGUAAUCUUUGAAAGUUUAUCGUGAUGGGGAUCGUUGAUUGUAAUUUUUCAACGUAAACGAGGAAUUCCUAGUAAGUGCGAGUCAUCAACUCGCGCUGAUUUCGUCCCUGCCCUUUGUACACACCGCCCGUCGCUCCUACCGAUUGAAUGGUCCGGUGAGGUUCCAGGACUGGCCUUUGUUGAUUGGUAACAAUCUCUUAGGCCGGAAAUGCGCCCGAAUCUUAUCAU